Molecule: long non-coding RNA, 1354 nt
Organism: Cyprinus carpio carpio
Lineage: Eukaryota; Metazoa; Chordata; Actinopteri; Cypriniformes; Cyprinidae
Source: Ensembl
CGGGUGUCUGGUCACUGCUUAAUGCCUAUGUGAAAUCCAGUCCUGAAGAAAAACCAGUUGAGAACCACUGAUCUAGUUUAUGUGUCUAGAUUUUAGUAGAUAUCAAGCCUAUAACCUGAACCAUUCCGCUUUCAUCACUACAGACAGAGAGAAAAGCAAAGUGCUGUUAAGGUUUGCACUUUCAAAGAAACAACUUAUCAGUGCGGUCAAUGAAAGAAUGGUCUGACUGUCCGUUUUAUGAGGCUGAUAUUUCAAGGAUGCAAUUACAAGCAGCAAGGCCUGAUUUUUUUGUCCAGUUUUUCUUUCUUUCUUUCCUUCCACACAACAUAAAUCAACGUCUAUAGAUGUUAUGGACAGCAGACUACAGCGCUUAUGCUUUGUGAUGUUUCCCAAGAUGCCAUUCUAAUUUGUUUUUCUCUACUGUACAGCACAUAAUAGGGGUGUGUGAGAGCUGUCUCUCCUGUUCAUCUGCACUAGUGACAGAUUUUCAGGUCAGGUGCUUCCCAUCUCCUCUACAUCACUCUUUACUUUUGUUCUUUUUUAUGCUGCUUUUUACUCAUCUCCCCCUUCCUCCUCGCUUUUAUGCCUGAUACCUUUCAUCCUCAUAGUUCCCCCUUGGCUCCUGCAUCGUUUGGCUCCCCACCCCCUACCUCUCGCUGGCCUGCCUGAGCCCUCUAUCUCUUCAGAUUGUGUCCCAUCAGACGAGCGGCCUUGUGGGUAAUGGGUGCGCAAAUCCCCCACCACUCCCCGCAUCUCUCAUGUUGGUGAAACCUGUCGGCAUGGGAAUGCCAGUCUUGAUCACCCUUAUCAAAGGAAGCCUCGUUCCUCUUGCUAUGCCUGGAGGUGCUUUAGAGAGGAAAGAGAAGAUCUGUCAAAUGGCUUGGAUGAGCUCGAGACAGACAGGAACAGAGAAGAUGUUGUGAUGAGGAGGGGUGAGGAGUGUUCCUGAGUCUGCUGUUCAUUGUCCGGAGGCUCCUGAGGCCCCUCCUGGAGGCAGGAGGUUAAACAGUCUAUGCUCAGGGUGAGAGGAGUCUUAAGAAUGAGGUGAGCUUGACGUAGACUGCGUUUUCUCUGGAUGUCAUUAAAAGCAGGAAGUGGUGUCCCUGUGAUGCGUUGGGGGGUUUUCACCACCCUCUGCAGUGCGUUGCAUUCAGCAACUGAGCAGUUCCCAUACCAGACUGUGAUACAACUGGUCAGGAUGCUUUCGAUCGCACACCGGUAAAAGUUCACCAUGAUGGCUGAAGACAGCUGGUUCUUCUUCAGUGUCCUAAGGAAGAAGAGGCACUGGUCGGCCUUCUUGACCUGGCUGGAGGUGUUUGGGGUCCAGGACAGGUCCUACGAGAUGGUGGUUACC